RNAcentral lists this ribosomal RNA (497 nucleotides) under uncultured bacterium. Its description in RNAcentral is "partial 16S ribosomal RNA". It matches the Rfam family "Bacterial small subunit ribosomal RNA", at positions 28 to 507 of the family's 1533-position model. The record is from RNAcentral.
GAUGAACGCUGGCGGCGUGCCUAAUACAUGCAAGUCGAGCGAACAGACGAGGAGCUUGCUCCUCUGACGUUAGCGGCGGACGGGUGAGUAACAAGUGGAUAACCUACCUCUAAGACUGGGAUAACUUCGGGAAACCGGAGCUAAUACCGGAUAAUAUAUUGAACCGCAUGGUUCAAUAGUGAAAGACGGUUUUGCUGUCACUUAUAGAUGGAUCCGCGCCGCAUUAGCUAGUUGGUAAGGUAACGGCCUACCAAGGCAACGAUGCGUAGCCGACCUGAGAGGGUGAUCGGCCACACUGGAACUGAGACACGGUCCAGACUCCUACGGGAGGCAGCAGUAGGGAAUCUUCCGCAAUGGGCGCAAGCUUGACGGAGCAACGCCGCGUGAGUGAUGAAGGUCUUCGGAUUGUAAAACUCUGUUAUUAGGGAAGAACAAAUGUGUAAGUAACUAUGCCCGUCUUGACGGUACCUAAUCAGAAAGCCACGGCUAACUACGUG